GAGUUUGAUCUUGGCUCAGGACGAACGCUGGCGGCGUGCCUAACACAUGCAAGUUGAGCGGAGAUAUGGAGAGCUUGCUCUUUAUAUUUUAGCAGCGAACGGGUGAGUAACACGUAGAUAAUUUGUCCUAUAUUGGGGAGUAGCCGGAUGAAAUUAGGUAGUUAAUUACCGCCAUACAGCUAUUUAACCGUACCGAUGGGGAGGAUAGUGAAAGGGGAAGGACUUGAUAUAGGAGGAGUCUGCGGCACA
RNAcentral lists this ribosomal RNA (249 nucleotides) under uncultured bacterium. Its description in RNAcentral is "partial 16S ribosomal RNA". It matches the Rfam family "Bacterial small subunit ribosomal RNA", at positions 9 to 240 of the family's 1533-position model. The record is from RNAcentral.